AAUUAAACCCCAGAAAUAGAAUGUUUCAGAAACUGGAGAGGAAGAGUCAGACCGACAGAUUCAGUCAGAAAAAGCGAGCAGAAGAGGAGGUUUCCUUCUCCGACUCUUCUUUAUCGGCUUCUUCUUCUUCUUCUUCUUGUUAUUCUUCUUCUUCCUCCUGAUCAUCUUCUUCACUGACUGAAAUACAUAUCAUUGAGUAAAAAAAAUGGGGAAAGAGAAAGACCAGAAAGAGAAGAAGAUGUUUGUAGUUGGAGUCUGGAGCUUUGCUAAAGAGGUUAAACUGUUGUUAACUGCACUUUUGAUCCUCUGUACUUUUGCCACGGUUCUUCAGUUCCUUCCUUCUCGUUUCACCAUUUCCACCUCCGAUCUCGGCGUCUGUAUCUCCAGGGUCAUCUCCCCCCCCAACACCACCACCACCCAACUUGCCCCACCACCCAUUGCUACUUCCUCAUCAGCACUUGCUUCCCUACUGGCCCCGCUUCCUUCUUUUCCGCCACCGCCACCUUCUAUGGCUCCGCCUCCUCUUCUCCAAGAAGAUCGGACGCUCGAAAAUGGCGUCAUCAAGCGGGGCUUCAAUCCUUACGGUGCGGCCGCCUACAGUUUCGUCACCAUGGGGGCUUACAGAGGAGGCCUCAACACCUUUGCCAUUAUCGGCUUAGCUUCCAAGCCCCUCCACCUCUACGCCAAGCCGACAUAUCAGUGCCAGUGGGUCCCCCACCUUAACUCCUCCAAGCCCAUCUCCGCUGUCGGCUACAAGAUCCUCCCUGACUGGGGCUACGGCCGCGUCUACUCCGUCGUCGUCGUCAACUGUACCUUCUCACAACCCAUCAACACCGAGAACUCCGGCGGAACAUUGCUCAUCCACGCCUCCACCUCCGGCGGCGGUGACCGCAACUUCAACGUGACGGACACCAUCCAGGCCUUGACAGAGUCUCCCGGGUCCUUGAGUCUUUCUCUGUUUACUUCAAAGCCCAAGUACGAUUAUCUGUAUUGCGGGUCGCCCUUGUACGGGAAUCUGAGUCCCCAGAGAGUAAGGGAGUGGAUAGCGUACCAUGUGAGAUUGUUCGGGGAGAGAUCGCAUUUUGUGAUUUACGACGCGGGUGGGAUUCACGAGGAGGUUUUGGAGGUGUUGAGGCCGUGGAUGGAGAAGGGCUUCGUGACGUUGCAAGAUAUAAAGGAGCAGGAGAGGUUCGACGGAUAUUAUCACAACCAGUUCAUGGUGGUGAAUGAUUGCUUGCACAGGUACAAGUUUAUGACCAAGUGGAUGUUCUUCUUUGAUGUGGAUGAAUAUAUCUAUGUGCCUCCCAAAAGCACCAUCAAGACGGUGCUCGAUUCGUUUUCCGGAUACACCCAGUUCACCAUUGAGCAGAUGCCCAUGAGCAGUAAGCUCUGCCUCUCCGAACCUGCCGGCAGAACCUACAGGAGAUGGGGUUUUGAGAAGCUUGUGUAUAGAGAUGUGAAGAAAGGGAUUAGGAGGGACCGCAAAUACGCCAUCCAACCGCGCAAUGUAUAUGCCACGGGGGUUCACAUGUCGCAAAACUUUGCUGGUAAAACAACCUACAAAACGAAUGGACGGAUCAAAUACUUCCAUUACCAUGGAACCAUCGCGGUACGACGUGAACCAUGCAGGAACCUCAUCAACUCGACAGGGAUCACUUUCGACAAAACCCCUUAUGUUAUGGACACCACAAUGAGAGAUGCUGCUGGGUUUGUGAAGAAGUUCGAGCUAAAAAUGAUUGGAUCCAGGUUACAGAGGACAAGACAGUGACACCAUUCUUUUUUUUUUCCCCCUUCAAACUUUUGUACUAUUCUCUCUGUUUUUUUUUUUUUUUUGGAGGUUACAUUAAAAGAAACUGAUUAGGUGGUUUCUUUUUUGUAAGAUAGCUUAUGAGAUACGGGUAUAAAUGAGCUAGCAUGUAUGAGGGACAGAAGAAAAGAGCAUAUAUAUUAGAGGGAGAAUGGUCACCGUUCAUCUAACAAAGUAAAAGGGACCACACACAUCCAGCCUCUGAAGGUGGCCAAUGUGCUGUGCUGUGCUGUGCUGUGCUUGCGUGCCUGCUACCUCACUUUAUCAUUUUUUUCCAGAACUUGUGCUUUCUUUUGUUCAUAGGUUCCGAAGAAAAAGUGAGGGAGAAAGGGUGGAAAAUGAUGCUUUGUCAUGAGAAAGGAUUUCGAUCGGUGUGUUGGGAAUAAUAUGCGAAGGGGACAAAGUCAAAAACGGCAUGUGGGUGACACCAAAGCCUAAAAAGCCCUCUUUCUAAUGUCUUGUCAUCUAAAUUAUAACUAACACGAGGAAAAAAGUGAGGAAAGGAUGAGAACGAAAGAAGGAAUCAUGAUUUGUGUGAAAUUGCUGUGGUUCUUGAAGGCUUUUAUCCAUGUUUAUUUUUCUUUGGUUUGAA
This is an RNA transcript of Juglans microcarpa x Juglans regia, 2399 nucleotides long. It is a transcript of the gene named galactan beta-1,4-galactosyltransferase GALS3, with no coding region annotated. NCBI's taxonomy places the organism in Eukaryota, Viridiplantae, Streptophyta, Magnoliopsida, Fagales, Juglandaceae. The record is from RefSeq and is a predicted model, not a curated record. The transcript has 3 exons.